UACGGAGGGUGCAAGCGUUAUCCGGAUUCACUGGGUUUAAAGGGUGCGUAGGCGGGUUGGUAAGUCAGUGGUGAAAUCUUCAAGCUUAACUUGGAAACUGCCGUUGAUACUAUCAAUCUUGAAUAUUGUGGAGGUAAGCGGAAUAUGUCAUGUAGCGGUGAAAUGCUUAGAUAUCGGGAAGAACACCCGUGGCUAAGGCGGCUCUCUAGUACGGUACUGACGCUGAGACGCGAAAGCGUGGGGAGCGAACAGG
RNAcentral lists this ribosomal RNA (253 nucleotides) under uncultured bacterium. RNAcentral's name for it is "partial 16S ribosomal RNA". It matches the Rfam family "Bacterial small subunit ribosomal RNA", at positions 524 to 776 of the family's 1533-position model. The record is from RNAcentral.